CUUGAUCGAGCCCAGCAGCAGAGGACGGUCCGCCGCUCGGUCCUGGCCGUACGUGGCCAGCAGCGCCUGGGCCUC
RNAcentral lists this antisense RNA (75 nucleotides) under Streptomyces lavendulae subsp. lavendulae. RNAcentral describes it as "ASpks TB sRNA". It matches the Rfam family "ASpks TB sRNA". The record is from Rfam by way of RNAcentral. Lineage: Bacteria; Bacillati; Actinomycetota; Actinomycetes; Kitasatosporales; Streptomycetaceae.